GAGCUCAGUGGCAGAGAUUCUGCUUUGCAUGUAGAAGGUCCCAGGUUCAAUCCCCGGCGUCUCCA
Molecule: non-coding RNA, 65 nt
Organism: Podarcis lilfordi (Lilford's wall lizard)
Lineage: Eukaryota; Metazoa; Chordata; Lepidosauria; Squamata; Lacertidae
Source: the annotation of a GenBank genome assembly